UUAAUUCCUAGUAUCUAACAAUAUAACAUGUGAUUUUCGUGAUUAUGUAACCCUUCACGGUCAUGGUGGUUUAUAAGCACAGGUUAUGCGCAUUUAUUCGAACUAUAUAAACAAAAUAACUAUUCUUCCUCAGGAUUCAUCCAACAACUCUCUAAAAGAACAACACCAAAAAAAUGAGUUUGAAAAUUGCGGUUGUUGUUUGCUUGGCCAUUAUUGCUUUGGAUUCAGCUUUAGGGGCUCCUCACAACUCCCGUAAAGACCAAGAUCUCAGGAAAAGUUUUGUUGAAUUCUUGCAACAAGAUAAGGAGUUGUCUUCGUUGUUAGAAAAAGCGAAUCUCGGAAGUUAUCCUUCGUUGUCACGAGCUGUAAGACAAGCUGAAGAAGACGAUGUGGAAACUGACCAAGACGUUGAUACUCCCAAACAAGAAGGAUUUUUUGACAGAGCGGCCAAAUUUGUGAUGGAAGUUUUGCAGAGGUUUCUCAAAUGGGUUAAUACAGACAAUUAAAGUGGGAAUCAGAGAAGCUGUUAAAACUUAUAUUUUGAAUGCAUUGUUUGGAUAAGCAAUCAUGUCUAAAACCACUUCUAAAGUAAAUUUUUUCCUAAAAGCUUU
Molecule: RNA transcript, 611 nt
Organism: Tribolium castaneum (red flour beetle)
Lineage: Eukaryota; Metazoa; Arthropoda; Insecta; Coleoptera; Tenebrionidae
Exons: 2
Source: RefSeq, a predicted model, not a curated record